UACGAAGGGGGCAAGCGUUGUUCGGAAUCACUGGGCUUAAAGGGCGCGUAGGCGGGUGCUCAAGUCCGGGGUGAAAUCCUCCAGCUCAACUGGAGAACUGCCUCGGAUACUGGGUGUCUCGAGUGUGGUAGGGGUAUGCGGAACUAUCGGUGGAGCGGUGAAAUGCGUUGAUAUCGAUAGGAACUCCGGUGGCGAAGGCGGCAUACUGGACCACUACUGACGCUGAUGCGCGAAAGCCAGGGGAGCAAACGGG
This 253-nucleotide ribosomal RNA is filed under the name uncultured bacterium. Its description in RNAcentral is "partial 16S ribosomal RNA". It matches the Rfam family "Bacterial small subunit ribosomal RNA", at positions 524 to 776 of the family's 1533-position model. The record is from RNAcentral.